Molecule: non-coding RNA, 93 nt
Organism: Acanthosepion pharaonis
Lineage: Eukaryota; Metazoa; Mollusca; Cephalopoda; Sepiida; Sepiidae
Source: the annotation of a GenBank genome assembly
AUGAAUCACCGGUUCCUGUACGAUCAUCGCUGUUAAGCAAAGUCGAGCCUGGUCAGUAACUAGAUGGGUAACAGCUUGGGAAUACCAGGUGCU